RNAcentral lists this ribosomal RNA (374 nucleotides) under uncultured organism. RNAcentral's name for it is "partial 16S ribosomal RNA". It matches the Rfam family "Bacterial small subunit ribosomal RNA", at positions 527 to 896 of the family's 1533-position model. The record is from RNAcentral.
GUAGGUGGCAAGCGUUGUCCGGAAUUAUUGGGCGUAAAGCGCGCGCAGGCGGUCCUUUAAGUCUGAUGUGAAAGCCCACGGCUCAACCGUGGAGGGUCAUUGGAAACUGGGGGACUUGAGUACAGAAGAGGAAAGCGGAAUUCCAAGUGUAGCGGUGAAAUGCGUAGAGAUUUGGAGGAACACCAGUGGCGAAGGCGGCUUUUCUGGUCUGUAACUGACGCUGAGGCGCGAAAGCGUGGGGAGCAAACAGGGAUUAGAUACCCUGGUAGUCCACGCCGUAAACGAUGAGUGCUAAGUGUUAGGGGGUUUCCCGCCCCUUAGUGCUGCAGCUAACGCAUUAAGCACUCCGCCUGGGGAGUACGGCCGCAAGGCUG